GAUGAACGCUGGCGGCGUGCCUAAUACAUGCAAGUCGAGCGAACAGACGAGGAGCUUGCUCCUCUGACGUUAGCGGCGGACGGGUGAGUAACACGUGGAUAACCUACCUAUAAGACUGGGAUAACUUCGGGAAACCGGAGCUAAUACCGGAUAAUAUAUUGAACCGCAUGGUUCAAUAGUGAAAGACGGUUUUGCUGUCACUUAUAGAUGGAUCCGCGCCGCAUUAGCUAGUUGGUAAGGUAACGGCUUACCAAGGCAACGAUGCGUAGCCGACCUGAGAGGGUGAUCGGCCACACUGGAACUGAGACACGGUCCAGACUCCUACGGGAGGCAGCAGUAGGGAAUCUUCCGCAAUGGGCGAAAGCUUGACGGAGCAACGCCGCGUGAGUGAUGAAGCUCUUCGGAUCGUAAAACUCUGUGAUUAGGGAAGAACAAAUGUGUAAGUAACUAUGCACGUCUUGACGGUACCUAAUCAGAAAGCCACGGCUAACUACGUG
This 497-nucleotide ribosomal RNA is filed under the name uncultured bacterium. RNAcentral describes it as "partial 16S ribosomal RNA". It matches the Rfam family "Bacterial small subunit ribosomal RNA", at positions 28 to 507 of the family's 1533-position model. The record is from RNAcentral.